UAGCGCGCCCGGCCGGGCUCCUGGCCCGCGGCCCCGCCGCCCCCCGGACGGAGAUCGCAGAAAGGGAUUUGCACUUUUUUCCUCCGCUCCUCCUGCCCUGAGGGCCUCCGCUCACCCCACGCUCAGAUCGGGCGCUCCGGUCCAGCGCCAGGUCCGUCCGAGCCCGGGGCACUGGCGGUCCCGGCCGGGGCGCUCUGUUCCCGCCCCUCCCCGUCCCCCGUUGUCCGUGGGGGACGCGCCACCCGUUCUCAGUCCCCAGGGCCCGGGGCCGGGCCUCGGCCUCCCUUGCUCUUCCCCGCGGCAACGCCAGGCCCUGUGAGGCGGGGAAGGGGCCCGCGAUCUCCCAGGCAGGUCCGAGAGGGAUGUGUAGAUUCAUUCUCCUGUGGAGAACAGCUGGCCCUGAGAUCAGGCCCUUUUUUGCUCUUUGUAUUUUAUUUGGAAACUGUAUUUAAUGCUUUUAUAUGAAAGGGGGCGGGGCGGGAAGAGCUGACCCUAUCACCCUAUGUGCAAAUGUCUUAUUUAUUAUGCGUGUGUCAGAGAUAAGCUGUGAGGUGGUGGAGGAGGGACCUGAAGGAAGGAGCCAGGGCAGAGGCGGGGCGAAGCACCUCAACAGGCAGUGCUAGUGUGACUCGCAGCCCUGCCUCUCUGGGAACCGGUAUCUUCACAAAGCAAGGCCACCGCAGACACAGUUCCCUCCGUCCUAAAAUCAGGGUGGGGAGGUCAGCGGGUAGAACUUGUUGGGUCUGGAGGGGAGAGACUCUGGCAGCUGGGGCCAGCGGCUGCCUCAGUAGGUGGGAAAGCACAGGGCAAAGCGGAAGCCCCGCUUCUCACCCCUGCUCCACAGGCCAGAGCCCAAGGUUCAAGUGCCUCAGGCCCAGUCCCCUUGACUCUUCCUGUUUGGGAGUUGGAUUUUAUACUACGGAUUUUAUAGCAUUUUUAUAUAAUUCAAGAUUGUCAGAGUUGGAAGGGACCCUGGAGAUCACUAGUACCACCCCCAUCCCCAUAGGUAAAAUGAAGCCCAGAAACUGAAAUUAUCACACAGCCAGGUGGGAACAGAACGAGAACUAGAAUACAAAUGCCAACUCCCAAUUCAGUGUUCUUUGCACUACACCACCUCCCAAUCUCUGAAAUCAAAUGAACAGCUGUGCUCUACUAUAGAAAUUCUACAAUCUUGUGAAUCCAUACCAGUAUCAACCAUUAGUUGCUUUUUAAAGCCCCCAAAGUGAAGUGAGGAUGGGGGGAGUGGAAGCCUUGUUUGGAUUUUACUUUACCCAAACUGUGUAUAAAGAAUAAAGUUAGCAGAAUGACA
This is a non-coding RNA of Microcebus murinus (gray mouse lemur), 1309 nucleotides long. The record is from RefSeq and is a predicted model, not a curated record. NCBI's taxonomy places the organism in Eukaryota, Metazoa, Chordata, Mammalia, Primates, Cheirogaleidae.